UAAGGCCCCCGAAACCAGACGAGCUACCUAAGAACAGCUAAAAGAGCACACCCGUCUAUGUAGCAAAAUAGUGGGAAGAUUUAUAGGUAGAGGCGACAAACCUAUCGAGCCUGGUGAUAGCUGGUUGUCCAAGAUAGAAUCUUAGUUCAACUUUAAAUUUACCUACAGAACCUUCUAAAUCCCCUUGUAAAUUUAACUGUUAGUCCAAAGAGGAACAGCUCUUUGGACACUAGGAAAAAACCUUGUAAAGAGAGUAAAAAAUUUAAUACCCAUAGUAGGCCUAAAAGCAGCCACCAAUUAAGAAAGCGUUCAAGCUCAACACCCAUCGUCUAAAAAAUCCCAAACAUACAACUGAGCUCCUUACACUCAAUUGGACCAAUCUAUUACCUUAUAGAAGAACUAAUGUUAGUAUAAGUAACAUGAAAACAUUCUCCUCCGCAUAAGCCUACAUCAGACCAAAAUAUUAAACUGACAAUUAACAGCCCAAUAUCUACAAUCAACCAACAAGCCAUUAUUACCCUCACUGUUAACCCAACACAGGCAUGCCCACAAGGAAAGGUUAAAAAAAGUAAAAGGAACUCGGCAAAUCUUACCCCGCCUGUUUACCAAAAACAUCACCUCUAGCAUUAUCAGUAUUAGAGGCACCGCCUGCCCGGUGACAUAUGUUUAACGGCCGCGGUACCCUAACCGUGCAAAGGUAGCAUAAUCACUUGUUCCUUAAAUAGGGACUUGUAUGAAUGGCUCCACGAGGCAAAAAAAAAAAAAAAAAAAAAAA
This 775-nucleotide long non-coding RNA is filed under the name Homo sapiens (human). RNAcentral describes it as "HSALNT0312984". It matches the Rfam family "Bacterial large subunit ribosomal RNA", at positions 707 to 2042 of the family's 2925-position model. Lineage: Eukaryota; Metazoa; Chordata; Mammalia; Primates; Hominidae. The record is from RNAcentral.